RNAcentral lists this unclassified non-coding RNA (2557 nucleotides) under Hermetia illucens (black soldier fly). RNAcentral's name for it is "poly(A) polymerase type 3, transcript variant X8". Lineage: Eukaryota; Metazoa; Arthropoda; Insecta; Diptera; Stratiomyidae. The record is from RNAcentral.
AAAACAUCUAUCGCGGCCAUCUUUCCUAGCGGUACGUCAAGCGCUCUUAUGUUCCUCGUUUCGUUUUCUUAUAAUUUUCGUGGCCGAUUCUCGCGAUUAAUCAUCAUAAAGUAGAAUUAAGUUUGUUUUCAGUGGUGAAGUGCUGACGGAUAGUGUUUUUUCGGUGACACGACUAAUAUUUACCGCGACAAUUUCGUUCGAAAACUUCAGGUCUGCAUCAAUUACGCCAGCGACGGGAACGAUUUUCUGUCGCGCUGACAACGAGAGAUUCAAAGAAAAGAAGGGUAUUCAUUUUGGAAAUUCGAUAAAGCAUGUGGAAUGCGGAAACCCGUCAAAAUGGUACUAAGAUCCAGUCAACGACAAAUUCGUCCUCGGCUAAUCCCACAUCUGGAGGGAAGCCCCCGGGCACGGCGAAAACUCUGGGUAUGACCUCCGCCAUAAGUAUGGCCGAACCGAAACCAGAAGACAUCCAGAAAACAAAAGAAUUGGAGAAAGCCCUUGAACCUUAUAAUGUAUUCGAAACAGAAGCCGAAUUAAAUCAUCGUAUGGAGAUUUUAGCAAAGUUAAACACAUUGGUUAAACAAUGGGUGCGUGACGUGGCUAUAUCGAGGAACAUGCCGCCACAAAUGGCUGAAAAGUUAGGGGGAAAAAUCUACACAUUUGGUUCAUAUCGACUGGGGGUACAUCAUAAAGGAGCUGAUAUAGAUGCUCUGUGUGUGGCGCCGUGUAAUAUUGAGAGAUCCGAUUAUUUCACAUCAUUUUUCGAGUUGCUGAAAAAACAACCCGAAGUGACAGAGUGUCGGUCAGUGGAGGAGGCAUUUGUGCCGGUUAUAAAAAUGAACUUUGAUGGUGUGGAAAUCGAUUUGCUGUUUGCUCGUUUAGCACUUAAGGAGAUCCCUGACAAUUUCGAUUUGCGGGAUGACAUGUUGCUGAAAAAUUUAGAUCCGAAAUCAGUUCGAAGUUUGAACGGUUGCCGCGUGACGGAUGAGAUUCUGAGUCUCGUACCAAACAUAGAUAACUUUCGUUUAGCAUUAAGAGCGAUAAAGUUAUGGGCAAAAAAACAUGGUAUCUAUUCGAAUUCCCUUGGUUAUUUUGGAGGUGUUACGUGGGCCAUGCUGGUAGCCCGAACUUGCCAACUAUAUCCUAAUGCCGCGCCUGCCACCUUAGUGCAUAAGUUCUUUUUAGUUUGUUCGAGAUGGAAGUGGCCACAUCCGGUGUUGCUAAAACAUCCAGAAAAUAUUAAUCUGGGCUUUCCGGUUUGGGAUCCUCGAGUGAAUAUAUCUGAUCGGUAUCAUCUAAUGCCAAUUAUAACACCUGCAUAUCCACAACAAAAUUCUACAUUUAAUGUCACCGAGUCCACAAAGAAAGUAAUUUUGGCGGAAUUCAAUAGAGGCAUGGCGACCACGGAGGAAAUAAUGUUAUGUAAAGCGACAUGGGAUCGGUUAUUCGAAGCGCCUAGUUUCUUUUAUAGGUACCGACACUUCAUUGUUUUACUGGUUAGCUCAAACACAGCCGAGGACCAUUUGGAGUGGUGUGGAUUAGUGGAAUCAAAAAUACGUCUAUUAGUGGGGAACCUAGAGCGUAACCAACAUAUUUCUUUAGCACAUGUUAAUCCAAAAUGUUUUGAUAUUUAUCGACAGAAAGGUAGCCAAAAUGCUAGUACAAAUAAUUGCGAUGAAAAUUCAAGCAAUCCUUCGGACGAAAAUUCUAAGCCAAUCGCACCAUUUUGUUCAAUGUGGUUUAUUGGGCUUGAAUUUGAACGUAUGGAAAAUUUAAAUGUCGAUUUAACUGAUAGUAUACAGAGUUUCACAGCACAAGUUCAUUCACAUGCAGUAAACAUAAAAAUGCUAAAGAUGGGAAUGCAAAUUGAAGCGCGACAUGUGAAACGAAAACAGCUAAAUCAGUAUCUAGACCCAGAACUACUCAAGCGCGAAAGACGGAGCACAGAGCACCACAAUAGUUUCUCAAACUCAAUGAUGGCAUCGAAAAAGCGGCUGUCAUCGGAGCUAUCGUCUCAACCUCAAAAGAAGAAUCGAAACAGCGAGACCCAGCCACAACAGCACGAAGAAAAUUCAAAUGCAUCGUCAGUAGGCAGCGAAGUGUCUACGUCAUCGUCAACGGCAAAGGCGUCACGAACACCGACCACUCCUGAUGCAUCAUUGGCGUCGUUGCGACAUCCACCGCUGCUAACAUCAUCUACAUCGGCGAAGGCGUCGUCAUCAUUAUCGUCCACGGAAGUGUCGUCAUCGAUAACUACGACUACAAUUCCAUCUAUGAGCAGUUGCAAUGAUGUUGAUCAUCAAUCUGCAGACGCUUCGAAGACGACGAAAUCUUCAUCGACGGCAUCGGCGGGAACAAGUGCGCCAGAAGUGGCCUGUUCGUGACAACAGAACUUCCAUGAAUCCGAGAAUGAGAACGGAGCAAUUUUGACUACGGUUACUUAUUUAUUAUUUAAGCUUUAUCCCCACGAUUUAAUUCGUAUUUUUCUUUGAGACAGUCGAAUGGAAGCAGGAAGUUUAUUUCUUUCAUGAAUAAAAGUCAACGUUUUUCUUCCUAA